UUGUUCGGAAUUACUGGGCGUAAAGCGCACGUAGGCGGCUUUUUAAGUCAGGGGUGAAAUCCCGGGGCUCAACCCCGGAACUGCCCUUGAAACUGGAGAGCUAGAAUCUUGGAGAGGCGAGUGGAAUUCCGAGUGUAGAGGUGAAAUUCGUAGAUAUUCGGAAGAACACCAGUGGCGAAGGCGACUCGCUGGACAAGUAUUGACGCUGAGGUGCGAAAGCGUGGGGAGCAAACAGG
RNAcentral lists this ribosomal RNA (236 nucleotides) under uncultured bacterium. Its description in RNAcentral is "partial 16S ribosomal RNA". It matches the Rfam family "Bacterial small subunit ribosomal RNA", at positions 541 to 776 of the family's 1533-position model. The record is from RNAcentral.